This 478-nucleotide ribosomal RNA is filed under the name uncultured bacterium. RNAcentral describes it as "partial 16S ribosomal RNA". It matches the Rfam family "Bacterial small subunit ribosomal RNA", at positions 28 to 523 of the family's 1533-position model. The record is from RNAcentral.
GACGAACGCUGGCGGCGUGCUUGACACAUGCAAGUCGAACGGUAAGGCCCUUCGGGGUACACGAGUGGCGAACGGGUGAGUAACACGUGGGUGAUCUGCCCUGCACUUCGGGAUAAGCCUGGGAAACUGGGUCUAAUACCGGAUAGGACUCCGGACUGCAUGGUCUGGGGUGGAAAGCUUUUGCGGUGUGGGAUGGGCCCGCGGCCUAUCAGCUUGUUGGUGGGGUGAUGGCCUACCAAGGCGACGACGGGUAGCCGGCCUGAGCGGGUGACCGGCCACACUGGGACUGAGAUACGGACCAGACUCCUACGGGAGGCAGCAGUGGGGAAUAUUGCACAAUGGGCGCAAGCCUGAUGCAGCGACGCCGCGUGAGGGAUGACGGCCUUCGGGUUGUAAACCUCUUUCAGCAUCGACGAAGCGAAAGUGACGGUAGGUGCAGAAGAAGGACCGGCCAACUACGUGCCAGCCGCCGCAGUAA